Pelobates cultripes (western spadefoot toad) is the source of this 227-nucleotide non-coding RNA. The record is from the annotation of a GenBank genome assembly. Lineage: Eukaryota; Metazoa; Chordata; Amphibia; Anura; Pelobatidae.
CAUAGACAUACAUACUGACAUACACACAGACAGACAUACUGGCACACACAUAGACAGACAUACUGACAUACACACAGACAUACUAGCACACACACACAGACAUACUGACACACACACAAACAUACUGAAACACAAACACAUACAUACUGACACAAAAAACACAUACAUACUGACACACACAGACAUACUUUACACUUUUAAAGCCAGUAGACAGCGGCUGAGUAAGG